GAGUUUGAACCUGGCUCAGGAUGAACGCUGGCGGCGUGCCUAAUACAUGCAAGUCGAGCGAACAGAUAAGGAGCUUGCUCCUUUGAAGUUAGCGGCGGACGGGUGAGUAACACGUGGGUAACCUACCUAUAAGACUGGGAUAACUUCGGGAAACCGGAGCUAAUACCGGAUAAUAUUUAGAACCGCAUGGUUCUAAAGUGAAAGAUGGUUUUGCUAUCACUUAUAGAUGGACCCGCGCCGUAUUAGCUAGUUGGUAAGGUAACGGCUUACCAAGGCGACGAUACGUAGCCGACCUGAGAGGGUGAUCGGCCACACUGGAACUGAGACACGGUCCAGACUCCUACGGGAGGCAGCAGUAGGGAAUCUUCCGCAAUGGGCGAAAGCCUGACGGAGCAACGCCGCGUGAGUGAUGAAGGGUUUCGGCUCGUAAAACUCUGUUAUUAGGGAAGAACAAAUGUGUAAGUAACUGUGCACAUCUUGACGGUACCUAAUCAGAAAGCCACGGCUAACUACGUGCCAGCAGCCGCGGUAAUACGUAGGUGGCAAGCGUUAUCCGGAAUUAUUGGGCGUAAAGCGCGCGUAGGCGGUUUCUUAAGUCUGAUGUGAAAGCCCACGGCUCAACCGUGGAGGGUCAUUGGAAACUGGGAAACUUGAGUGCAGAAGAGGAAAGUGGAAUUCCAUGUGUAGCGGUGAAAUGCGCAGAGAUAUGGAGGAACACCAGUGGCGAAGGCGA
RNAcentral lists this ribosomal RNA (733 nucleotides) under uncultured bacterium. RNAcentral's name for it is "bacterial SSU rRNA". It matches the Rfam family "Bacterial small subunit ribosomal RNA", at positions 9 to 724 of the family's 1533-position model. The record is from RNAcentral.